This is a long non-coding RNA of Brassica rapa (field mustard), 4988 nucleotides long. RefSeq lists it as uncharacterized. NCBI's taxonomy places the organism in Eukaryota, Viridiplantae, Streptophyta, Magnoliopsida, Brassicales, Brassicaceae. The record is from RefSeq and is a predicted model, not a curated record.
AAAAGAUAUAAUAAUGAACUUAUGUAAAAUAUGAUAUUUUUUAGGAAUGGUCCAAACUAAAAAAAUCACACAUGAAAAGAAGUCAUGACUUCUGUUUUAAUAUAUAAGAUAUAACUAUAUUUAAUUUUUAAAUAUAUUAUAAAUUUUACUUUUUUAUAUAAUAUGGUAUACCAAAAUUUAUGUUAUUUAAAAUGAAUAUAGUUUUAUGUUUAUGAAAAUAAAGCAGUUACCUAGUAAUUUUUAAGUUUGAUGGAACAACUCGCAAAAUCCUAUUAUAGUUAUAUAUGGUUUUCAUAAAAUUAUUCUAUUAUUUUAGUUAUUUAUCUGUAUUUAUAAAUAAUUAAUAUUCAAAUUAAAUUUAUUAAAAAGCGAGACACACUAUUAAUCCAAAUUAAGUUAGUUAUUUCAAAAAGGAAUUAGUAUGUAAUAUUUAGAGGUAUAUCUUGAAAAUAUAAAGAUAUAGGAAUUACGAUUUAUUAAAGUUAUUAGAAUCACUGAGAUUUUUUUAUAAAAUCACAGAUAUUUUCAAUGAAAGAGUAGUUAGUAAAAUGAAAUAUAGGAUUUUAGUUAAAUAGUUGUUAGAAUCAUCAAGAUUUUUAUGCAGAAUGCAAUUUAAAAUAUCUUAAUAAAUAAUGCAAUUGUGAUAAUGAUCCAUUUCAAAAUUCUCGUAUAAACUAAAGAAAUAUAGUUUGGUAAACUGAGGGUUCUAGUAUGGUUUUUCUAAUCCAUUCGUGCAAUGCAUACAUAUACGAUAAUCCAUACGUGGUUGGCAUAGGUUUGGUUUAAACUUAGUAUAAUCUUAAUAAAAUGAUAUUGUACAUAUCUACGUAUGAAUCUAGCUAUAAAUGCUUAAUUUUAAUAAUAUAGUUAUGAUAAAGCAAUUAUAAUCUUAUUUUCUUAAGUCAUAUAAAAAUAUUCGUAUAUGGAGCAUCGGUAGGAAGUAAAUAUUUGGUGCAGUUAAAGUAGGAAGUGGAAAAUCUUUUAAUUGUGAUAUAUGGAAUAUUUUAUGAUAAUUAGUAGGAAUUAGUUUGAUUGUUAGAAUAACAUAAAUAUACAUCUAAUAAAUUUUCUAAAGAUGGUCCAACUUUAAAAAAUCACACAUGAAAAAGGUUGUGACUUCUGUUUUAAUAUAUAAGAUGUUUAUGUCGUUCAAAAACGCCAUUUUGCUACUAGCGUCAAGAAUAUACAGGGAUAUCAUCUAACACUCGUUUCUAAUUUACUCUUAGUUUUUAUGUCUUAAGGUAAUGUCUUGUCUAAGUGAUAUGCAUGCACAUCUCCUAAAUCCGACUCGAGACAGACUGCACAUAUAUAUAAUUAAAAAGCUGGUGGAUUUGGCGGGCAUUCUCUUCAAAACUAUUUUUCAUUUUUUCCAUAACUAUUUUUCAGAGUUGUAUAGUUCAUGUUUGUAAGAAUUGCAAUUUAUGUGCAAGCUCUUUAGAUAAAAAGACUGGAAGGUGUAUUGUUUUUUCAUAGUAAGUUAGAUAAGAUUGGAUAGAGUUGUUCUUAUGAACAAUUUUUUUAUUGACCAAAACGUUAGUAACAAAAUAAAUAGUUGACAAAAAGUAUUAAAUUUCACAUAAUCUUGAAAUUGUUAUACGAUUUCCAAUCCAAAUAAAGGUUUUUUCAGAGAUUUCACAAAGAAAAAAAAUAUUUACUACCAUUUGCUUUUAAAAAUAAACAUUCAACAUACGUUAGUUUUUUUUUGAGAACUUUUGAGUGCAACUGAAGAUAAUCAUUGUCACGAUUGUAGCCAAUGCAUGAGAGAUCUUGAUCGCCAAGUUUGGAGCUUUUAAGGAGCUAAGGAACCAAACUAGCCAAUGUUCAAGUUGGAAGUGAAAUAUAAAGAAUAAAGGUAAAGGUGACCCAAGUGAGAUGCUUUGUAAUGAUUUUAAAGGCAAUAACAUUGUGAUCUUUCUUUAGCAUGACGAGAGAGCGAUGCGUUCUGUAUAGAUUCUAUUGAUUAGUCAAAGAAGCAAUCUCCUACUCAAAUUUAAAAAGAUACACAAAGAGAAUGAACCCAUCAAAUGAGUACACUCACUGGCUCUAAGCUUUUAUUUUCUUAAACCCUUUAUCUUCUUUUUCUUUUAUCUAUUUUGGAUCAAAUAGAGAAGUUACGUUAUCUCCAAGAACCGAACUAUAUAUUGUUGUUCUUUUUUUGGUAAACUAUUUUCUGGUAAACAUAUAUUGUAUUAUAUUGUUGUUCUUUUGCAAAAAAAAAAAAGUAUUUUUUGCAUCAAAUAGAAUAUAUAGGUUUGCAAGAAGCAAAACAGUUGAGUUUAAUCUGAGCAAAAAAAAAAACAUUUAUAUCAAACGGGUAAACUCAUUACCUGAAUAUUUUGUAUGGCAUUUUUUUUCUUGGCUUCAUUGAGUUUUAUGGGUUUGUAUUAUUAGUUUAUUAUCUUAUAUUCCCUCUUGUUUGCAAUGUACGUUCUUAUAUAAACUCUCAUAGCCGUAUAUCGUGUUAUUAAUUUCGGAUUGGUUCUUCCAACUAAUUUUGAGUCAAAUGUUGGAUCGGAUUUUAUACCAUAUUAAAUUUUGUGGCUUAAUUAAAAGCUGAAAAUAAUUGACUAAUAGUUCUUAUAUAGUAAGUAUUAAGUAUUAACUAAAGAAAAAAAACUUAGUAUGAUACAUACAUAGAAAAGUAAUUUAUUUUAAUUUUUACGUUUUUCUACAAAAUUGACUAAUAGUUCUUAUGUGUGUUACAAAAAAAAAAAUUUUGAUUUGGAACUUGUAAUGAAACACCUGUUAAUAAAACACAAUAGUUCACACUUGUUUGACAAAUAACAGUCAAAAGAGCGUUUAGAUACAUACAAUAAGCUUGUUGGAGUAUGUGUGCCGACAAACAUGAACGAACAAAAAUACGUAUAACCAGAAAGAGAAUGAUGAAUAUAAAGAUUUAAACAACAUCAAAAGACCCAGAGAGACAGGGAACAAAGAGAAUCGGAUCGGUCUUGAGAUUGAUGUUUUUUUUAAUGUUCAAUUGAAACGACCACACCACUUUCCCAAAAUAUGCUUCUCUCUCUCACACGCACUUGACACUUUGCUUCGUUGAACACGAAACCUAACGAUUACCAACCCAAGACACAAAGUGUUCGACUUUGUAAUUUCACAUUACCUUGUCGCAUCUCUCCACUCACGUGACUUCUAAUCUAAUUUAAUAUACAUCAUUUGCGUGUAUAUAAUAAGUAAUUAAGUGACUAAAACGUUUCUUGGUAUGUAUAAAAUCAUGGCGCCAUGCAUGCAAAAAGCUAGAGCAAUUGAUAACUAAAUACAAAGUGGUUUCGUUACCCAUUAAGCACAACUAACGUGCUUUUUAGGCAGGGCCGGCUCAUAUACGAGGGUGAGCGACCGUUGAGUCCAUGAUAUUAAGGGUACAAAUUUUUCAAAUUUCUUUUAAUUUUUUUUUAAGAAACAAAUAUUUUUAAGAACAAAAAUAAAUAUACAUGUAUUCUAAAGAGUUUUAAUUUUAUAUAUUUUCAUAAAUUUAAUAAUCUUGUAGAGUUUUUUAAAAGUUAUACUUAAAUUGUGUUUUUCUUAAUUAUUAGAGGACCUGAUUUUUUUUUGUCCAGAAGGCCCUAUAAAUAGGGGGUGGGCGUUUGGGUACUUGUUCGGGUUUGGAUUGGGUAUUUCGGAUUUUCGGGUAUUUUGGUAUAAAAGUGUAGAACCCGUUUGAGUAUUUCUGAAUUUUGGGUUGGGUUCGGAUAUUUUUAGUUCGGAUUCAGUUAUUUCAGAUCGGGUUCGAAUAUUUAGAUUUUGAAAAAAAUAUUAAAUUUUUCAUUUCUCAAAUUUCUUGUAUUUAAAAUAUAACUUUCACUUAACUCAUUUUUGUUUUUAAUAGAAUGGUUAAUAGAUUUGGACGUAACAUUUUGAAACUAAAAAGAUAUUAAUUUGGUUAUUGUUUUAAAUUUUGGAUGUAACUUUUUGUUAAUUCUUGAAAUAAAAAGUUUGACAUGCAUUUUAAGUGAGUAGCAAAUUAUUUUCUCUGUAACUGUAUGUAUACCAUAUGAACUUAAAGUAUGUGUAGUAUCAAUAUAAAUAUUUUAUAUAAAAUAAGAAGUGUAAACUAGAAAUAUAAGGUUAAUUAUACAUAUGUUCGGUUAUCUUCAGAUAUCCAUUCGGGUUCGGAUAUUACCGUUCGGGUUCAGAUAUCCAAUCUCUUCUAAUUUAAUACCUGUUUAGAUAUUUAUCUACUUCGGUUCGGAUUUUUCGGUUGGGUUCAGAUGCAGUUUCGGAUAUCAGGUAAAGUGUCCACCCUACUAUAAACUAUGAGCCAUAUAAAAAAAAAAUAUAAAAAAAUAUAAAAUUAAAAUAAAUUACUUUUUCUAUCGUAGAUGCCUUGGAAGAACAAGAUCAAACUGGUAUGUUUUCCUUUUUCUACUAAUAAUGUCUUUGUCUGGUGUUUAAUUGUCGUUUUCGAUGAGUCGACCAUAUAUAUAUGCAAUUUAAAUUACUAAUAGUCAUUUAAAAUGACCUUUCAAAACUAUUAAUAAUGUAGUUUCUCCUGUUAUAACCAAAUCUAUUUUAAUUUGGACAUAAAUUUACCUAAUUUUUUUCAACAGCCGAACAAAAAUGCAUCUAAUAAAAAAAUAAUACCGUAUCUUUAAAUCUAAAAUCUUGACCCGUGCAUUCACGCGAAAUUUAUAUAUAUAAAUAUAAAUAUUAAUAAAAAUAUUUUAAAAUUCUAAAUAUUAGGAUAACGUGUUUAGAGGUGCAAUUGUGAAAAUAUGGUAUUUUCUAACUUUAGUUGAAGGUAGAUAUAUAAUUUUAUUUUAUGUUUUAUGAAUAUAUGGUGAUACCUUGAUAAUUUUUUUUUAAAAAUGGUUUCAGUUAAUAGGAUAUAUAUAUUAUUGUAGUAUAUGUUUAGAAUUUCUACAUAGCAAAUGCUUUGCUAGAAAUUAAACUAAUUCUUAUAUUAUGUAUAAUACAUGAAUGUUAGAAAAAAUACAAUGACAUAAGAUCAACAUAUUUUAAAGUCAAAAACAUUCAAC